AUUUGUGAAUAGGAGACCCAAAGUCCAAAAAUGUUCAUCUUUUCAAAACACAAUAAAAGUUUUGAUCAUCUGUAAAGAACAUCACUUUGAUGAUACCAUUGUGAACAAUAUUUGUGAGUUGAUAGACAAACCCAUUUGACUAAUAGAAUGACUAUGAAGCACUAUAAAAAUUUGGUGAAAAAUAAACCAUGACAAAUCUUAUAGUGCAUAAAAUCAAUAAGGCAGCCAUGCAUCUGACUCAGAAAAUGUGUGCAUUUCUAUAGUAUGGAAAAAAGUUCAGAGUCUACAAGCAUUCACUGAGAGAAGAUAGAUGUUUCCAGAAUCUUCUGCUGUGUUUAUUAAACACAAAUGUCACCACGGUGACUUGAUUGAUAAACAUGCUUAUCAUGUGACCAUCAGCAUCUUCGUUUGGAUCUCAGCAACCUUGUAAACGGUGCAUAUAGCAGCAGGACUGUGAUCCCUGCAUUGUCGAGAUGGAAAGAGUUGCUGGAGGUCAAUAGAAAGCCAUUCUAGAGCACCAGUGAACUCCAUGUUCACCAGGAGACAGAGUCUGGCUCCAAAGUAAGGUGAAGAAGUCAUUGGGAAAACACUCUCAGUCACCUUCUGGCCUCAAUACACAUGUGCACAUGCCUCCCCACACAUGCCUGCCCAUCCACAAGUACACACACAUAAGUGUAGACACACACACACAAGAAAAAUAAGAAGCACGUCAGUGUUAGUGAGCGUAGCAAAGAUGUAAACAUAGGAAAAGCAGAUAUAAAUCAUACUUAAUAAUAAAACAUUUAUAUAACUGUAGACACAACCAGAAAAAUGACAGCUGACCCUGCUGUGACAUGAAUGAACAUGAGGAGAAUGGAAUAAUAAGGAGACAGUGUGUUUGAAAGCAUGAAGGGAGAUGAUUGCAAAGAUUAACGGGACAAUGAGCAACAACAAGAGGUGCACUCAUCACUUUUGUCAUUGCUGUGGCAAAAUACCUCUCCCUCCACCAAAAAAAAAAAAAAAAGGCAGUUUAAGCAAGGGAGAACGUACUCUGGCUCACAGUUUUUAAGUGUGCAGUUUACCAUAGCAAGGAAGGCAUGGCAGUGAGACUGUCUCCAGCUGUAGUGGCAAGGGUGUGGGAAGCCGAUCGGAUAGCUUCUCUGGAAAGGUCCUCACAGACAUGUCCAGAAAAUAGUCUACUAAGGGAUUCUGAAUCUCAUCAAACUUGACGACAAAACUAACCACCAUAGGAGACAAGGAUCAUUGAAUCUGAAAACCCCCAAUCCAGUGAAUUUAAGCUACCUCCCAAACUCAUUAGGUUAAAGUCAAUUCACCUGGAUAACUGGACCUCCAUUCCUAUCCUCUGCUGACUAGCCCAUGACAUAUAGAACCUAGAGAUGACUCAGACAGCUCUUCCCUCAUGUUUACCUACUGUACUCCUACACACAGAAUGUGCAGUAGGGGUUGAAGGCACAGUGAUGUGGGUGGAUUCAUUUUAAAUUGAAAAGCCUUGGACACUUAUUGCUGGGUUCCUUUCAGAUGGUUAAAACAUGUUAUUCUUGGGGACUUUCUUGCUGGUGGACAUAUCUCCUUACCCUUUUGUUCAUACUGCCACAUCUUCCUUCACAGUUACCCAAUGUCACACACCUCUAGAGCCCCUGGUGUUGGUUUUCUGUCAGAGCUCUGCUGUGGUGGUUUGAAUAUGCUUGGCCCAUAGGAGGUAGUACUAGUAGUAGGUGUGGCCUUGUUGGAGGAAGUGUGUCACUGUGGGGGUGGGCUUUGAAGCUCUGCUCAGUGAGGAAGAGUCAAUCUGCUCCCAGCUUCCUUUAGAGGAAGACAUAGAACUCUCAGCUCCUGCAGCACCAUGCCUGCAUGGAUGCUACUAUACUUCCCACCUGGAUGAUAAUGGACUAAACAUCUGAACCUGUAAGCUAGCCCUAGCUGAAUGCUAUCCUUUAAAAGAAUUGUCAUGGUCAUGGUGUCUCUUUACAGCAAUGGAAACCCUGAGACACCCUCCUUCUUUUAGCUUGUGCCUACUAAGUAGCUUGGUAGUAUCAUCUUCAGAGCUGGGCUUAAGGAAGGCAGGAGAGAACAUAUCUAUUCAUGGUUUUACUCUGGGUUAAGUAAUUCUUCCUUGGACUCUUUCUGAAAUGUCUCAGAACAAAAAUCAAAACAAAGCAGAUGGUUCAUUGGAAAGAUUCUACUCCCCACUGAACUACAGAAAACUGUGUAACCUCUUAUAGACAAAUUUUAGAUUUUAAUACGCUGCAUAGUCAGGCUUCUCUAAAGGAAUAGAACAGAUACAAGGAGAGUAUAUAUGAAAUGUAUGAGAGGGGCUUAUAGGCUGUGGUCCGGGUAGUCCGGCGAUGGCUGUCUUACAGCAGAAAAGCCAAGAGUCUGGUAGUUGUUCAGUUCAGGGAACUGGAUGUCUGAGGAAUCCCAAUCUGAUGCCAUUGACCCUGGGAAGUCCUAAUGAGCUGCUGGUCUUCAGAAGUCUAUGUUAGAAUCCAGAAGAGGUUCCUAAUACCUGGGAAAGAAUGAAUGUCUCAGCAGCAGGGGAGAUGAACACUGCAACAAGAAUGUU
This 2563-nucleotide long non-coding RNA is filed under the name Mus musculus (house mouse). RNAcentral's name for it is "long non-coding RNA chr13:109745260-109747823". Lineage: Eukaryota; Metazoa; Chordata; Mammalia; Rodentia; Muridae. The record is from RNAcentral.